Aethalodelphis obliquidens (Pacific white-sided dolphin) is the source of this 169-nucleotide long non-coding RNA. RefSeq lists it as uncharacterized. The record is from RefSeq and is a predicted model, not a curated record. Lineage: Eukaryota; Metazoa; Chordata; Mammalia; Artiodactyla; Delphinidae. The transcript has 3 exons.
GUCAAGGAGAUAGAGAAAAGGGAAUCCUAGUAUAAUAUUGGUGGGAAUGUAAAUUGGUUCAGCCACUAUGGAAAACAGUACGGAGGUUCCUCAAAAAAUUAAAAAUAGAACUACAUAUGACCUAGCAAUCCCACAUCUGGUUAUAUAAUCAAAGGAAUUGAAAUUAGGA